RNAcentral lists this small RNA (1830 nucleotides) under Pongo abelii (Sumatran orangutan). RNAcentral's name for it is "processed transcript". Lineage: Eukaryota; Metazoa; Chordata; Mammalia; Primates; Hominidae. The record is from RNAcentral.
AUGGCGGGGUGAGCUGGGCUCUACUGCUGUGCGUGCAGACGGCGGGAGUGGUUGAGGGUCCGCCCCGUCGCCUUCCUCGGUCCUGGCCUCGGGGCUGGGUGCCGAGCGCUGGGCACCGUCGCCGCACUCAGCGAGCGCGACAGGGGCGAGGCCAGGAUUCCGGGUCGCAGUUCCCCGGGAGGAGGGCGCCCUCAGGUACUUGAAGCUGGUGUGUGCUUCCUUUCAGCGUCAAGGGUUCCACACUGUUGGGAGUCGCUGUAAGAAUCGGACAGGCGCUGAGCACCUGUGGCUGACCCGGCAUCUCAGGGACCCAUUUGUGAAGGCUGCGAAGGUGGAGAGUUACCGGUGUCGAAGUGCCUUCAAGCUCCUGGAGGUGAACGAGAGGCACCAGAUUCUGCGGCCCGGCCUCCGGGUGUUAGACUGUGGGGCAGCUCCUGGGGCCUGGAGUCAGGUGGCGGUGCAGAAGGUCAACGCUGCAGGCACAGAUCCCAGCUCUCCUGUUGGCUUCGUGCUUGGGGUAGAUCUUCUUCACAUAUUCCCCCUGGAAGGAGCAACUUUUCUGUGCCCUGCUGAUGUGACUGACCCGAGAACCUCACAGAGAAUCCUCGAGGUGCUUCCUGGUGGGAGAGCAGAUGUGAUUCUGAGCGACAUGGCGCCCAAUGCCACAGGGUUCCGGGACCUCGAUCAUGACAGGCUCAUCAGCCUGUGCCUGACCCUUCUCAGCGUGACCCCAGACAUCCUGCAACCUGGGGGGACAUUCCUUUGUAAAACCUGGGCUGGAAGUCAAAGCCGUCGGUUACAGAGGAGACUGACAGAGGAAUUCCAGAAUGUAAGGAUCAUCAAACCUGAAGCCAGCAGGAGAGAGUCAUCAGAAGUGUACUUCUUGGCCACACAGUACCACGGAAGGAAGGGCGCUGUGAGGCAGUGAGGAUUUCUUGUGCCAUUUUCAUAAUGGUCAUUAGCUCCUUUUAAGCUAGAAACGUAGCCUGAGCUCCUUCCUGAAGAGUUCCUGGGAGAUUUGAGCUGAUUUUGGAGAUGGAGCAGGACAAGUGGGGAGUCUCUCUCUCUCUUUCUCUCCUCUCUCUUUUUUUAACCAAAAAGAAAUGACAAAACUAAGUUCAGGGGCCAUGGAAAAUGAAAAAGUCCGCUAUAUUGUGAUUUGUGAAGAGAAAGUUAUCAAGAGAAAGAGGUGAGGAUGGAAGGAUGGAGAAAAACAGACUGUGGGAAGGAUCAGAAGGAAUCCGCCAAGGCAGGGAUGGGUGUGCCCAUGUGUGCCUUGACGAGACUUCAUCUUACAGACUGUUAAACUGUCACACAGAAACAGGCCUUCCACCCCUGCUCUGAGAGCACCACGCACAGGUUUCCAGUUCUUAGUGUGGCUGUUUAAAGUAGAAAAUCUGGGGGCUGGGUGAGGCCACUCAUGCUUGUAAUCCCAGGGCUUUAGAAGGCUGAGGCUGAGGGAUUGCUUGAAGUCAGGAGUUCAAGACCAACCUGGGCAACAUAGCAACACCUCCUCCCCAUGUCUACAAAAAUGAAAAACCAAAAAGCAAACCAAAAGAAAAAUCUGAAAUUUCCAUCUGGGGAUUAACUUCUGCCUUUCUGGUGAAUAAUAUAGCAAUUCGCGCAUUCUUCAAGCAGCAAAAGUUCCCGGAGCAAUUAGGGAAGACGUAUGGUCUGAAUUUAUCCAUGCAGUGGGUCUGCUUUGUUCUUUGCUGGAAAUUUAUAUCAGUGUCUGGGCUCCCAAGAACAUAAAGGUAAUUGCCAAAGCAAGCAGUGAUGUGGUGUGUUUAUUUUCUUUUACUCUUCUAGGAACUUGACGCAGCUUUAUAU